GGGCAGGCUACCGAAAAUGAACUACUAGCAGGAAAUGCCUACAUGUCGAAAUUUUCAAAGCAGCAAAACAAAAUCUACCAAAUAUAACUCCUGCAAGUUUUUCACAAUGAGAUUUUUUUACUACUGUGUACUUAUGUAAAGGAAGAUGAGUGCCAAUUACACAACUCUCCAUCCAAAUAACAAUUCUUAAAACCAUUAUAGGUCAAGUUAGGGCCCUCAACACGGAGCCAACCGGGAAAACCAAUAGUCUAAUCUAUAAAAAAAAACCACGAGAAACACGUAUAAAUUACAUAAACAAACUACAACUACUGUACAUCAGAUUCCUUUACCUUGCAGUAUAUUAAAACAACGUUUUAAGUUUC
This 362-nucleotide long non-coding RNA is filed under the name Mytilus galloprovincialis (Mediterranean mussel). Lineage: Eukaryota; Metazoa; Mollusca; Bivalvia; Mytilida; Mytilidae. The record is from RNAcentral.